Molecule: ribosomal RNA, 457 nt
Filed under: Streptococcus sp. oral taxon 068
Lineage: Bacteria; Bacillati; Bacillota; Bacilli; Lactobacillales; Streptococcaceae
Description: bacterial SSU rRNA
Rfam family: Bacterial small subunit ribosomal RNA
Source: RNAcentral
GAUGAACGCUGGCGGCGUGCCUAAUACAUGCAAGUAGAACGCUGAAGCUUGGUGCUUGCACCGAGCGGAUGAGUUGCGAACGGGUGAGUAACGCGUAGGUAACCUGCCUGGUAGCGGGGGAUAACUAUUGGAAACGAUAGCUAAUACCGCAUAACAGUCGACAUUGCAUGAUGUUGAUUUGAAAGGGGCAAUUGCUCCACUACCAGAUGGACCUGCGUUGUAUUAGCUAGUUGGUGAGGUAACGGCUCACCAAGGCGACGAUACAUAGCCGACCUGAGAGGGUGAUCGGCCACACUGGGACUGAGACACGGCCCAGACUCCUACGGGAGGCAGCAGUAGGGAAUCUUCGGCAAUGGGGGCAACCCUGACCGAGCAACGCCGCGUGAGUGAAGAAGGUUUUCGGAUCGUAAAGCUCUGUUGUAAGAGAAGAACGAGUGUGAGAGUGGAAAGUUCACAC